GAGAGAAGAAUUUCCUAGGAAUGCAAGAAGCUAUUCAGUCUACUGGUUUAUGAGGAUGUCCACUGUUUGAAGCUCGACCCAGCAAGAAGUUACCACCUCACUCCUCGUGUGGAUCAUGUCUGCGAUCUUCAGGCGAGGGAGUCCACCAGGAAUGCCCCCCCCCGCCCUGCUCCUGGGGAAAGCAGCCAGGCACCUAAUGAGACCUAAUGUGCACAAGAGCAUUGAACAAGCUUUCCCAUGACUCUCGCAGCUUCUUUUCCAGCAGGUGGUGAUGACAAAAACUGUUUGCUGCCUUGGACCAUCCUCACUGCCUUCAUCUCUCCUUUUCAACUGCUACCCACCCUGAGGUGAAAGGACCAGACUGCAUGCAAAGGCUUAUCCAGCAUGGACAGGUUUUUGUCAAAA
Molecule: long non-coding RNA, 405 nt
Organism: Gymnogyps californianus (California condor)
Lineage: Eukaryota; Metazoa; Chordata; Aves; Accipitriformes; Cathartidae
Exons: 4
Source: RefSeq, a predicted model, not a curated record